RNA transcript from Odontomachus brunneus, 1980 nucleotides. It is a transcript of the gene named sodium/potassium/calcium exchanger 3-like, with no coding region annotated. The transcript has 6 exons. NCBI's taxonomy places the organism in Eukaryota, Metazoa, Arthropoda, Insecta, Hymenoptera, Formicidae. The record is from RefSeq and is a predicted model, not a curated record.
GGAUUGAUAUAUGCGUAUAACGAUCGAUAAACUGUAGACUAACGCGUGAACUUUUGUACGUGUCUUUAUCUAGUUUUAUACCACUCGACAGUUAAAGAAGAUAAAGCUCUCUGCGGGAAGUCAGUAGGAAGGAGUGAGACAGUCUGAUCGACGGAAUUUAUCAUAAAUGCCGUUACCGCGGCUGGAGCAACAGUUUACCGUAUUUCGUCUCGGUAGUUGCGUCGCUUGUAAGAUCCGCUUCGAUAUAUCGCGCCGCGGCGGCAUUUUCACGUCUUCGCGCUAGGCUUACAAAAAAUGAAUAUCAGCAUCGCGACGACAAUACUCUUUAUUUUUGCGUUUAUACCUGCCUAUGAUAAUGCGUAUCUAGGAUUUACGGAAUUCUUCAUUGACAGAAACCAGCAUGCAAAUUCGACGAACAAUUCGUGUUGCGUCGACGUUUACGAGGAUGUUCCAAGCCACCUCGUCGAUAGCGCGUUCGUGGAGAUUAUCUCGAAGUUGGACGACGAAGAGAAGUCAAAAUUAUACGACGAAACAAAGCCGCAGAACUGCACGCCGCACUCACUCGAAGAGUUCCCGGACGAUCUCUUUACGGCAGAGCAGCGGCGUCAAGGCGCGGUAGCAUUGCACGCGUUCUUCAGCUUCUACUGCUUCUUGAUGACCGCGUUUGUUUGCAACGACUACCUGCUGCCGUCGCUCGACUGCAUUUGCGCGCAUAUGAAGAUCAGCAGCGACGUGGCCGGGGCGACCUUCCUCGCCGCCGCGAGCAGCUUCCCCGAGCUCUUCGUCAACAUGAUCGGUACCUUCGUGACGAAAUCCGAUCUCGGAGUCGGCACUGUCAUGGGCAGCGCGGUCUUCGACACCUUCGCCACUCCAGCAUGCGGCGCGUUAUCGGCGUUUCACGCAAUACAAUUAGAAUGGCGGAUAUUAACACGCGAUUGCAUAUUUAACGUGAUAUCAGUCAGCACUCUGGUGGUCAUAAUGAGGGACGGCGUAAUUGAGUUAUACGAAGCAGCCAUCCUCAUAGUAUUGCUAAUCGCUUACCUAACGAUAUUGUUUUGCGGCAAAUGCUUUGUACGAUGGUAUAGUAAGUUUGCGCAUCUGUUUACUGGCAAAACCAGCGGCACAGUCUUUUCAGAAGAAAAAUCUCCCAAGAGCAAGGAAGAACCCAUAGUCGACGGUCUCUAUAGACCGUACUUUCAUGGCGAACUCGUGGCGGAAUAUAGAAGGAAAAGCGGUGCGAGCAUCGGAGCUCAGAAGCCUUCCACUGAUCGCGAUGUGGAAGCACAAAAUAAUCUGGAAACUGCGGAGGAAUAUGUGGAGCCAGAUACGCCCUUUGUAUGGCCAACCGGCGGUAAUCUAGCCAAAAUCUGGUUCUGCUUUGUUUGGCCUUUAAAACUAAUCUUGUUCGUUACCGUACCGGACAGCAGAUACAAACGAUGGAAAAACUGGUAUCCGGUAACGUUCAUUAUGUGCGUCUUAUGGAUUGCGAUUACCUCCUACCUGGUAUCAUGGAUGAUGACUGUCCUCGGCGACACUAUAGAUAUUUCGGAUUCCAUAACGGGUCUCACGUUUCUGGCCGCCGGCGGCAAUAUGCCAGAACUCAUCUCGAUCGUGAUACUUUCCAGGCAAGGUGAGCAGUCGGAUGAAAACACGUGGAACAAUUCGUCUCUCGAUGUCCUCGAACCGGGAUAAUAGGUUCAUUUUUGCGCAAUGAGAUGCACCCCCUCAGAUGUCGCAUUAAAGUUCGAGAAGAAGAAAGACGAGAUCUACCUUCUUCGAAGUAUCAAUCGAAGAGAAACACGCCCGUCAGAAGGGUCGAAGAAUCUGUUUCAUUCGAUGUAACGGUGACAUGGCUAUGAGCAAUACAUUAGGCGCAAACACACUCGAUAUUUUAAUGUGUCUUGGAGUACCCUGGUUUAUAAAGACCUGCAUAUCAGGGAAGAGCAUUCACAUCGUCUCGGGUGCGCUGUUGUACAGCGU